GGAGAGACAUGAAGGCAAUUAUUCCGAAAGGAGUUUAGCAAGAGCUUGAGAUGAUCUCUGAAGUUAGGAGGUAGAAAACAAUGAGUUAGAAGGCCAGCCCAACGAUGCCAAGUGAGGCAACAUGAACAAAGUUCAUAGUGUUGAAAUGAGGAUGACGGAGGAAGAACAAGAGCCGUGGAUCUGACCAGGAGUGUGUGGACUUUGCAACGCGUUCCUUCACAGCUCGGGUGUAGAGAUAAUGGGACAGUUGCUGCAGUCUCUGUCCAUACACCAUAUUUACCAGACUGCGCAUGUCCGCUGGGAAAACAGGGAGCGGAAGUGUCACAACCUGCCAAAUAGACAUACUAGAGAAAUGAGAGCACAAACACAUGGCAUUCGGCUGACUAAUUAAAACACUAACGUACCUUAAAAUACUAAAGAGCCAAAAGCCGGUUGUGUGGAGCCAGCCAGAGGAACGCAGCAAACUAGAUAUUCAAAGUGGAAGCGUCUCACCUUGACCUCGGUGGACACUGUUCUUCAAAACGUAGCCAAGUCUUUAGUAUCCACAGUUUAUAAUAAAUUCAGUCUCUCCCUGAGCCCAAAGCUCAACAAUUCAACUACACUGGCAGCCUGCACGCCCGAGGUCUGUGUCAGCCAGCCUCCCCGGUGCUGGAACUACAGGUCCACACAGGCCUUCACACGGGAGCUGGGAUCUGCAGUAAGGAAUCCAUGCUUCCCUAGCAAACGCUUUACUGACCAAGACACCUCCCCAGCCCGACUCUUCAAACAUCUCAAAUCUCCUUCUUUCCUUCUCCUGUUCUACUAAAGCAGAAUAUUAACUUGACUUUGUUUUCAAGAAAGACAUGUGAGGCCAAAAUGAAAGGGGAAGAGGAGAUGUUUGAAGACACUACAGAAAUCUGGUACGAUAGCAGCCAGGGUUGGAGAAGACAGCUUUGUCUCGCCUGUGCAAUUGAGGGUAUUAUUUAUCUGUAAAAUGAGAUGCUUGCAGAGUGACAUCUAAGUCCCUUCUUGCUUGAAAUUGACAACAGUCCACAAAUGUUACGAGAUUUAGUUUUGAUGAAUGUGCAAAAUUAGCAGGCACCUGCUACCUUCAAACACAGAAGAAUGAUGUGAUAUUUAAAAAGAAGAGCGGUGUUUCUGGGCCAGAGUGAAGGGUUGCCCAGAUUUCUCUCGGUACUGUGGGGUUUCCCAUGUCACAGACCUGUUACUGCAAACACCCGCACAGUCCAAGGCAAACCAGAGUGACUGGACACCCUACAGAAAGAGGUUGAGUUCAUAAGAUAUAAAUGAAACAUUUUUAAUGUUGUAAAUU
Molecule: non-coding RNA, 1312 nt
Organism: Peromyscus maniculatus bairdii (prairie deer mouse)
Lineage: Eukaryota; Metazoa; Chordata; Mammalia; Rodentia; Cricetidae
Source: RefSeq, a predicted model, not a curated record